Molecule: ribosomal RNA, 491 nt
Filed under: uncultured bacterium
Lineage: Bacteria
Description: partial 16S ribosomal RNA
Rfam family: Bacterial small subunit ribosomal RNA
Source: RNAcentral
GUGAACGCUGGCGGUAGGCCUGACACCUGCAAGUCGAACGGCAGCACAGUAAGAGCUUGCUCUUACGGGUGGCGAGUGGCGGACGGGUGGGGAAUACAUCGGAAUCUACUUUUUCGUGGGGGAUAACGUAGGGAAACUUACGCUAAUACCGCAUACGACCUACGGGUGAAAGCAGGGGAUCUUCGGACCUUGCGCGAUUGAAUGAGCCGAUGUCGGAUUAGCUAGUUGGCGGGGUAAAGGCCCACCAAGGCGACGAUCCGUAGCUGGUCUGAGAGGAUGAUCAGCCACACUGGAACUGAGACACGGUCCAGACUCCUACGGGAGGCAGCAGUGGGGAAUAUUGGACAAUGGGCGCAAGCCUGAUCCAGCCAUACCGCGUGGGUGAAGAAGGCCUUCGGGUUGUAAAGCCCUUUUGUUGGGAAAGAAAAGCAGCAGGUUAAUACCCCGCUGUUCUGACGGUACCCAAAGAAUAAGCACCGGCUAACUUCGUG